GACCAGACUCCUACGGGAGGCAGCAGUCGGGAAUAUUGCGCAAUGGAGGAAACUCUGACGCAGUGACGCCGCGUAUAGGAAGAAGGUUUUCGGAUUGUAAACUAUUGUCGUUAGGGAAGAUACAAGACAGUACCUAAGGAGGAAGCCCCGGCUAACUAUGUGCCAGCAGCCGCGGUAAUACAUAGGGGGCAAGCGUUAUCCGGAUUUAUUGGGUGUAAAGGGUGCGUAGACGGAGAAACAAGUUGGUUGUGAAAUCCCUCGGCUCAACUGAGGAACUGCAACCAAAACUAUUUCCCUUAAGUGUCGGAGAGGAAAGUGGAAUUCCUAGUGUAGCGGUGAAAUGCGUAGAUAUUAGGAGGAACACCAGUGGCGAAGGCGACUUUCUGGACGAUAACUGACGUUGAGGCACGAAAGUGUGGGGAGCAAACAGGAUUAGAUACCCCGGUAC
Molecule: ribosomal RNA, 448 nt
Filed under: uncultured bacterium
Lineage: Bacteria
Description: bacterial SSU rRNA
Rfam family: Bacterial small subunit ribosomal RNA
Source: RNAcentral